This 468-nucleotide ribosomal RNA is filed under the name uncultured bacterium. RNAcentral describes it as "partial 16S ribosomal RNA". It matches the Rfam family "Bacterial small subunit ribosomal RNA", at positions 28 to 507 of the family's 1533-position model. The record is from RNAcentral.
GACGAACGCUGGCGGCGGGCUUAACACAUGCAAGUCGAACGGAAAGGCACUGCUUUCUUGCUGUUCUGGAGUGGCGAACGGGUGAGUAACACGUGAGUAACCUGCUCUUGUCUUUGGGAUAACUUCAGGUAACUGGGGCUAAUCUCGUACAGCAGCUGCUGUUCGAGGGAGGGGGUUGGAAAGUUUCGGCUGUCGGGGUUGGACUCGCGGCUUUUCGGUUAGUUGGUGGGGUAGUGGCUUACCAAGGCUUUGACGGGUAGCCGGCCUGAGAGGGUGACCGGCCACCAUGGGACUGAGAUACGGCCCAGACUCCUACGGGAGGCAGCAGUGGCGAAUAUUACACAACGGGCGCAAGCGUGAUACAGCAGCGCCGCGUUUGGGAAGACGGUCUUUGGGUUGAAAACCGCUUUCGGCUGAGACGAAGCGUGGCUGACGGUAAUGGGUAAAGAAGCACCGGCUAACUACGUG